GAGAGUUAAGUUUUAUUUGGGACAAAAUGAAGACUUAAGCCUGGAAGGCAGCACCACAAGAAACCACUUCUAGGAGGGGAGGGUGUUAGCUAAGAUAUACAGGAGUUUUGUAACAGAGGGCAGGUAGUCAGAACAAAAGAGUACUGUUAGUCAAAGAAAACUAGAUAUCUCAAGUUCAAAAAUGUAGUGCUUUUCUGUGUAUGGGAGUAUUGCAAGGGGCUGGGCUCACUGAAAUCCUUCCUUUGAGAAGCAUCUCAGCUCUCUGGAGCAAGUACCGUGUGCUUUUCACAUCCUGAGGGCUCACCAUCACGAAUGACUGCAGUCCGAUGGCUGCGAGAUGGCAGGUAUUCUUUGUUCCUUCCUGAGUUCCCUCAGGGCUCACCAGCUCAGAGGUGGCUGCAAUUGCUGAAGACUGUGACAUCUUUAUUUACUGCUAUAGGAGGCAAUAUUGUAUUUCUCACCAGCAAUUUGUGUUGUCAGGAGUUUUUGUUUUAGCAACUCUUAUCAGUGUGCAGUGAUUUAAUUGUUUUUCAAAUUAACAGAAUUUUAAAUGUAUAUUAUAUAAUGAGUGUAAUUAAAACAAAAUACCAGUGCAUAAAAGGAAGAUAUGUAAAAAUAUGCAAGCAAUUGAAGAAGCUAUAAAAAGAACACCAAAAUUAACUUUUUUUAAUUUAGAAAGCAUAGACAAAAUGAGAAUAGUUUGCAACAGCCCCAGAUUUCUCCCUGAAGGGAACAGCAAGCAGGGUAGUGUAAGGGGAAAUCAUAUACAAAUUUAAACAACAGCUUUACACUGGGAACUAUGUCGGGUCACUUAUGAUGAAUUAUGAUAAUGUGAGAAAAAAGAAUCUAUGCAUGUAUGUGUAACUGGGUCACCAUGCCGUACAGUAGAAAAUUGACAGAACACUGUAAACAAGCUAUAAUGGAAAAAAAAUUAAAAUGACUAUAUAUAUAAAAAAUAAUAAAAUAACAGCUUUAAUUCUCCCUGUUGAAAACAAGGGAAGAGACUUAGCCUCCCCUUCCUUUUCUUAGAGCAUUUUCUUUAGGAAAGUUGCAAAUUUUUUUUCUCUCUCUCUUUAAAAUGAAUGUAAAUCUUUUUAAACUUUAAAUGGACCCCUUGAAUACUGUAAACCAGCUAUAAUGGAAAAAAAGUAAAAAUCAUUAAAAUAAAUAAAUAAGUAAAUAAAUUGACCUCAUGACAGAUUUAUGACCCAGGAAUGUCUUUCUAAAGGACCUGGGAGCCAUCCCAUUGAAAUGUAAUCAUCAAGGAAGAUGGUGCCCUAACACCCCCUUUUUGUGGGAAGGUAGAAGCCUUCAGCAGAUUCCUUGGGCUCCUCACUCCAAACUGCAAAAUACCUUCAGCCACAAAGAUAUGAGAAUUUUGUUUUUCCUUUGGAUGAAGCAAAUUAGCAAACACAGAUGGCCACUCUAAUUAUCAGGUGAAUCUAGGAUAAAUUAUGCGUGGCAAAUGGUGCUUUCAGCUCCUCUAACUUCAGGGCUAGUUACUAUUUAUCUUGAGAACAUGUAUAUAGUGGGUUAUAUCUGCUUGGCUGCAUAAAUACCUAAGAUUCCUGUCUUUGCAGUCUCUUAGCAGAUUGCCACAUGCUUCACAUUUUGUUUUAAUGCUUACUCAGUGACAAAUUGUUUUCUUUCUCUUCUACCUUUGUGGAAAGUCUUCUGGGAUGAGAGGAGGUUUUGUUUUUAAUUAUAUAUCCCCCAACAAAAGCAAAUGCCAUGGACUGUGCACGCAGGUCAGAAAGAAGAAUUUUCCAGAUUCAGAGCAAGAUGAAGAAAAGACAAGUUUAUUGAGGCAAGGAACACUGUUAACACAGUGGGCUGACUUCCUGAUAAUGAAAGAGAGCCAAUCCUGGAGAUAAAGAAUAGUUUAAGAUGAGAGAUGUGGGAGUUUUCAUUGUGCUUAGCAGGUUAUGAAAGCAACUAGUAUCUAUGAGGAUGUGGAUUCAAUCCCUGGCCUCACUCAGUGGGUUAAGGAUCUGGCAUUGUCGUGAGCUGUGGUGUAGGUCACAGAUGUGGCUCAGAUCCUGUGUUGCUGUGGCUGUGGCACAGGCCAGCAGCUGCAGCUCCAAUUCAACUCCUAGUUUAGGAACUUCCACAUGCUGCAGAUGCAGCCAUAAAAAGAAAAAAAUUUAAAUGUGCUCUCUGUUUACUUGAAACAAAUAGACUGUCAAGAUGGGUUUAUUCAGUUUCAGCACAAAAUUGCAAUUCAGAGCCUGCAGCCAUGGUGAUUCAUGUACAAGUCCGCCCACAGCAAGGGAAGGAGAAUGCUUUUAUAAAGGAGAAAAGGAAUUUGGGAGGGCUAUAGUAAACAAAGGAUCAUGGCUUUUCACUGGCUGAGUCCUUGCCAGGAGAAAAGAGGAAACUUUACCUGUUGGGCUCUGCAACAAUCAUAGGGCACAAGGGCUCCCCCUCCUGGUCUCCCAAAUCUAUUCAACUGAGUUCUCUUUUUUUUUUUUUUUUUUGUCUUUUCCUGGGAACCUCCAUAUGCCGCGGGAGCAGCCCAAGAAAUAGCAACAACAACAAAAAGACAAAAGACAAAAAAAAAAAAAAAAAACAACAAUCACUUAAAGUCUCUGGGGGGAAAAAAAUUAAACAAAGUCCCCAGAAAUUUACCUAAGGGUAUGCAUUCAAGAAAUCCUCUUUAAUUUCAGUGAGACAGUGAGACUAUGACAAUGGGGCUAGCAUUUACUCCCUACACACACAUAGGUCAGGUCCAAGUACUCCUGGCGGGGCAGCUCAGAAGAGAGUGAACUUUUUUCCCCACCAACCAGAGUCGUAAGGUCUGGUGUCACAGUUUCACCCAGAGAAGGGUGCCUCUCCUCCCAGCCUUCACCUCAGCUCUAUUCAAAGCAAGCACAGUCAAGAUAUUUGGGCCUCAUUGUAAUGUAUUAGCAUCCUAAAUGACAGACCUACCAGUGCCAUGACAGUUGAUGGUUGCCAUGACAACAACCAGACUAGCCCAUUCAAGGACAGCAGAGGAGUGCAGUAUCUGACCUGGUCCAAACCAAAACCCCUGUUCUCAGAUAACUCAUGAACAUUCCUUCUACUCUUUCCAAUUCCCUCCCUUUUACCUCAACCCUCCUAAAUAUUUAGUGUCACUACCAAAUUGGGUUGGGAAGUUGAUUUGCAAACAAGAUUCCCACGUCUCCAUUCUUUGGCCAUUGAAUAAAGCUUGUGCUGUCCCAGUUUCAAUACUGGCUGCAUGAAUCCAACGGGGAGAAGUCUCAGCCUGGACUAGGACGCUUAUGUGUCCCAUCGACUAAUUCAGUACCAGUCUGUGUGUGUGUAUGGUUUUCUAUAUUUAGGUUUCUGAUAUCCAACUAGAUUUGGGCUUUGAAUGGUUAUAAGUGGAAGUUCUCAGGCUAGGGGUCAAAUCAGAGCUGCAGCUGAGGUCUACGCCACAAUCACAGCAACGCAGGAUGUGAGCUGCAUCUGUGACCUAUGUCUAAGCUCGCAGCAACACUGGAUCCUUAACCCACUGUUUUUUAUUACAGGGGGUCUCAGCCAAAAACUGAAAAGGGUAGAGGGAAAAUUCUUUUUCAACCCCAUGGAAUAAUCACAGAUGAGUUGUGUGACCCAGACACAAAGCAAGUUCUGAGGCCAGGGACCAAACCCAGGCCACAACAGUGACAAUGAUAGAUCCUUAAGUGCUAGGUCACCAGGGAGCGCCUAUGAUCAUUUUUAACGACUGCAUAAUGUUCCAUUAUAUUCUUUAGUCUAUUGCAACCAUGUUUGACCAUCCAUUAAGUUGCUUUUGGUUUUCUGCUAUUGCAAACAAUGUUGAGACAAACCUCUCUGUAUAUUUGUUUAAUUAUUUCCAUCAGACAAAAGUCCAAAGAACGGGGUUUCUGAGUCAAAUGGCAGACAUUUAAGACUUCUGAUGCCAAACUAUUCUCCAAAAGCAAAAUUCCCAACAACAGUUCAACAACAUUAAAGAACACUAGCUUCCCCACACCCUCACCAACACUGGCUGGAAGGUAUAGUUUCAAAGAUGAGUGCUGCGUACUGGUGCUCUUUGCCUCUUUCUCCACUGACAGCCUGGAAUACAGGUGCUUGAUAAAUCAAUCCAGGCUACAGUCUAGUAGACGCUCUGAUCCAAUAUGACUGUUCUGGGUAUCAAAGAACUCUCCUUCUGGUUCACUGCCCUGGAUGCUGGCAUCGUGUAGACCCUAUAAAGGCAGUAGCUCCAAGCACAUUACACAGAAGGCCCUCACUCUAUCAAACCACAGGCCAUCUGCUCCCAGGCCAUCCGUUCAGCUAGGAAGCUCCUGCUCCUGGUCUGUAUAGCCCUCGGAUUCCUGGUGACCCCAGGUAAACUGGAUGAGGGAGAAGACAGAUGGGACUGGGGGCCAGGAACACUAAAUCUUUGCUUGGCUGACAGACAAGCCAGGUUGAAAGCAGGCAGGGCUCAUCUCAAUGGGUUCCAACCUAAAGUUGGAAUCUCCCAACAUCCACCACUGGCCUCAAUACCCCAUACCCAGCCACCACCUUCUACCACCCUGUACAAAAACACAGUUCCUGGAGUUCCUGUUGUUGCUGUUGUAGCUCAGCAGGUUAAGAACCCGACUAGUAUCCCUGAGAUGUGGGUUCGAGCCCUGGCCUCGCUCAGCGGGUUAAGGAUCUGUCACUGCUGUGAGCUGCAGCAUAGGUCACAGAUGGGGCUCAGAUUUGGCAUUGCUGUGGCUGUGGCAGAGGAUGGCAGCUGCAGCUCCAAUUCAACCCCUAGCCCGGGAACUUCCACAUGCUGUGGGUACACCCUAAAAAGACCAAAAAAAAAAAAAAAAAAAA
RNAcentral lists this long non-coding RNA (4803 nucleotides) under Sus scrofa (pig). Its description in RNAcentral is "lncRNA (ENSSSCG00025070569.1)". The record is from RNAcentral. Lineage: Eukaryota; Metazoa; Chordata; Mammalia; Artiodactyla; Suidae.